ACAUUUUCAGUGAACUCUGAGCAAGGAAUGGAUGGAAAAUCUUAUCUUAGUGAGGAGGUGUGGUUGACCCCGUUGCUAGGUAUGAGUCAUCAUUUCAAAAGCCGUGAUUGGUUGAUCCUACAAGUUUGAUGGAAAUGAGUUUUUGGUGAUAAUGAGCAAAGGAUGUACCCUCAAAUCAAUAAACAUAAUUAUACACUCUAAUCUUACGCUGACUGUAAUUGUGAAUAAUAUUUCACAUUCAAGAAAAUAUCUGGAAAAUGAAUAGUAAGCUGUAGGGGUUAUAGCCUAACAUUAGAAUCUAAAAUAUGUGAAAACUUAAACUCAUUACACCCUGUUCAAAUAAUGAUUUGUGUCUUAUUUGCUCAUAUUAAUAUCCUAGCUGGCAUAUUUUGUACUUUCACUCCCAUAUGGACCCCAUUGAAAACAAGAUGGCCUAUCUCAAGGGGCUGUCCUUAAUGAAGUAGAAAUCACAACGUUACAAGUCCAGUGUGGUCUUAAUGAGGGUAACACGGCUCAGCUUUUAUCAAUGUCUGUGAUUGCUGGCUGGUCUAUUUAUAAAGGCUUGUUAACAAAUAUCCUACAAACACAGAAAAUGGAGAAAAAAAGGACUCGCAAGCCGAACUGGACUGAGGAGCAAGGUUUGUUGCUGGCCCAGUUGGUGAAUGAACAUAAAGGCGACGGUUGUGAGAGAAGGUGAUAUGUGCUGCAGUCCAAGGCAAAAGAUGAGAUUGCAGCACACAAGCAGGAAUCCUCACUCACAGGUGAGCAAAAUAUUAUAGCCUACCACAUAAUCUGGCAACUUGCGCCUGCUGGCAAAGUUAAUUUACAUGCCUAAGUACUGUGUUCAUUGACUGUUUCUUUCUAGGGGGCGGCUGUCCCUGGUGGCUGACACGGUCUUUCAAGUCCUGGGACACUCUGAGGUCAGUGUCACUGGGCUGCCAACAGGCAUUGACACAUCAAUGAUGAAGGCCCUUGAAGUGCAGCAAAGCAUGGAGCCAUCACAAGAACCGGGCCCAUCAAGUUUGCCGAUGAGAUUGCCGCCUGAACUAUCUGCAGCUGCUACUCAGGAUAGCCCGGCGGAUCAAACACCAUUCCCAUCCGCAGCACCUGCUCUGUCAGCAUCCCUGCAGGAGAGCAGAUUGCAACUCACAAUUGAUGUGUUUGAACAACAAAAAAAAAGUCCUUUCCCUUCAGGAGGAGUACUACCGCCUUAAAAUUGAACACC
Molecule: long non-coding RNA, 1225 nt
Organism: Astatotilapia calliptera (eastern happy)
Lineage: Eukaryota; Metazoa; Chordata; Actinopteri; Cichliformes; Cichlidae
Source: Ensembl